ACUAUGCGAGUGUUCCAUUUCCACAAAUAAAUUCUAGCAUCCACCUUCUGCCUUCCCAGCAUUGCAGUGGAGAAUGUGAAUGUUACUGUAUUACUCCCUUCCUUCAGAUUCAAGGAUGCCAACUCUUCAGAUGUUGGGGUAAUCGCCCUUACCAUCUUUUUGGAGACCUUUGUCUUGAAAGCAUUUCUAUCAUAAUCCAUAUCAAUGUUGCCAUCUGAAGCUUUCUCAGCAUCAGAACUCCUGGC
RNAcentral lists this unclassified non-coding RNA (245 nucleotides) under Hevea brasiliensis (rubber tree). The record is from RNAcentral. Lineage: Eukaryota; Viridiplantae; Streptophyta; Magnoliopsida; Malpighiales; Euphorbiaceae.